This 497-nucleotide ribosomal RNA is filed under the name uncultured bacterium. Its description in RNAcentral is "partial 16S ribosomal RNA". It matches the Rfam family "Bacterial small subunit ribosomal RNA", at positions 28 to 507 of the family's 1533-position model. The record is from RNAcentral.
GAUGAACGCUGGCGGCGUGCCUAAUACAUGCAAGUCGAGCGAACAGACGAGGAGCUUGCUCCUCUGACGUUAGCGGCGGACGGGUGAGUAACACGUGGAUAACCUACCUAUAAGACUGGGAUAACUUCGGGAAACCGGAGCUAAUACCGGAUAAUAUAUUGAACCGCAUGGUUCAAUAGUGAAAGACGGUUUUGCUGUCACUUAUAGAUGGAUCCGCGCCGCAUUAGCUAGUUGGUAAGGUAACGGCUUACCAAGGCAACGAUGCGUAGCCGACCUGAGAGGGUGAUCGGCCACACUGGAACUGAGACACGGUCCAGACUCCUACGGGAGGCCGCCGUAGGGAAUCUUCCGCAAUGGGCGAAAGCCUGACGGAGCAACGCCGCGUGAGUGAUGAAGGUCUUCGGAUCGUAAAACUCUGUUAUUAGGGAAGAACAAAUGUGUAAGUAACUAUGCACGUCUUGACGGUACCUAAUCAGAAAGCCCCGGCUAACUACGUG